RNAcentral lists this ribosomal RNA (404 nucleotides) under uncultured bacterium. RNAcentral's name for it is "bacterial SSU rRNA". It matches the Rfam family "Bacterial small subunit ribosomal RNA", at positions 1132 to 1532 of the family's 1533-position model. The record is from RNAcentral.
CGGGGACUCAUGGGAGACUGCCGGUGACAAAUCGGUCGAAGGUGGGGAUGACGUCAAGUCAUCAUGCCCACUAUGUCUUGGGCUACAAACGUGCUACAUUGGCCGGUACAAAGGGCUGCAAACCUGCGAGGGUGAGCGAAUCCCAAAAAGCCGGUCCCGGUUCGGAUUGAAGGCUGAAACUCGCCUUCAUGAAGGCGGAGUUGCUAGCAAUCGCGGAUCAGCAACGCCGCGGUGAAUAUGUUCCCGGACCUAGUACACACCGCCCGUCACACCACGAAAGUCGGCAAUACCCGAAGCCGGUGGCCUAACCCGCAAGGGAGGGAGCCGUCGAAGGUAGGGUCGAUGAUUGGGGUGAAGUCGUAACAAGGUAGCCGUAGGGGAACCUGCGGCUGGAUCACCUCCUU